This 1052-nucleotide ribosomal RNA is filed under the name Phytoptus chamaebatiae. RNAcentral's name for it is "partial 28S ribosomal RNA". It matches the Rfam family "Eukaryotic large subunit ribosomal RNA", at positions 56 to 629 of the family's 3401-position model. Lineage: Eukaryota; Metazoa; Arthropoda; Arachnida; Trombidiformes; Phytoptidae. The record is from RNAcentral.
GAAAAGAAAGCAAAAGCGAUUCCCCAAGUAACGGCGAGUGAACAGGGAUAAGCCUAGCGCUAAGGCUUAAUGUGGUUUCCGCAAGGCAAUCAAUUAUUUCCACCAUUAAGCGGUGCAGCGUUACAAACUCUGGUGUUUAGUAGUGUCAAUGUAGUGUUUAGUUGGGUAACUAACUCCAAUGCUGCUUUCGGCCUAGCGUACAAGUCCCCAUUGACUUGGGCUUAUUCUUAAUUGAGAUGUCUACGGGUUUGGGGCAACCUGGAUUCCGUGAUGAGCCAUAGAGGGUGAAAGUCCCUUAAUGCGCAGGUAUUGAUGCUACGAAUCAGAGCAGUGAUGUCUGGUAAAACAGGCGUUGCGGUUUGUUAGAGUCGGGUUGCUUGAGAGUGCAACCUAAAGAGCGAGGUAAACUGCUCGUAAGGCUAUGUAAAUACGGCUACGACACCGAUAGCAAACAAGUACCGUGAGGGAAAGUUGCAAAGUACUUUGAAGAGAGAGUUAAACAGGGCGUGAAACCGCUAGCUGGUAAACGAGUGGAGCCACGAAGUCGUUUCGUAGAAUACGGGGCGCAAAUUCAGCUGAGGUCCCUAAAAAGGCUUUAGCGUAUUUUUGCUUGUCUCGCUAUCGUAAGCGUACACUGCAACCAAUUAGACGGCCAAUCGUGGAAACAGUUUGCAUGUUAACAGGGAAACUUGUUGCUUGUGAGCGCCAAAAUUUGUGUAUUUACUGUAGGUAGCCUGGUUAAGAUCUUGUAUUUUAUCUGGGUGUAUGACAUUCGUAAAUGCGUGAACUACGAUUGGGUACUGAUUGGCAAAAUGAAAAUUGAAUCGCAAGAUUCGUUUAUUCAUAGAAAGCGGCUAGCAUCGUAUUCAGGUACAAUUGCUCGCUGCUAGUAUAAGCUUGGUAUUUUUGAAUUCAGGCACGUAUAUUGUCAGUGGGCUUGCUUAUUGAUAUAUGCGCUGUUUCCUGUCUAAUCGGGUAUUAACUUUGCUGGCGGUUUGUUGUAAUUGCUACGAUAGCAUUGGAUGCGAUAGUUAGUUUGCAAGUAUUAGCAG